CGUCAAAUAUAUUUACAUCAUUACAUUCAAACCCAAAUUCAGCUUCGUUUGGCCAUUCACCUACUUCGUCUUUAACGCAGUCCAUUUUCAAGAAAAACUAACAGGUUUCAGAAGGCAACACCAAUUUUAUAUCAACUGACGUUUUAGAAGGCAACACCAAUUUUAUAUCAACUAGCAGCCAUGUUUAUAGUGUUAUUGCAUCAGUGGGAAG
Molecule: non-coding RNA, 211 nt
Organism: Paramuricea clavata
Lineage: Eukaryota; Metazoa; Cnidaria; Anthozoa; Malacalcyonacea; Plexauridae
Source: the annotation of a GenBank genome assembly